RNAcentral lists this ribosomal RNA (468 nucleotides) under uncultured bacterium. RNAcentral's name for it is "partial 16S ribosomal RNA". It matches the Rfam family "Bacterial small subunit ribosomal RNA", at positions 28 to 507 of the family's 1533-position model. The record is from RNAcentral.
GACGAACGCUGGCGGCGUGCUUAACACAUGCAAGUCGAACGGAAAGGCCCUGCUUUUGUGGGGUGCUCGAGUGGCGAACGGGUGAGUAACACGUGAGUAACCUGCCCUUGACUUUGGGAUAACUUCAGGAAACUGGGGCUAAUACCGGAUAGGAGCUCCUGCUGCAUGGUGGGGGUUGGAAAGUUUCGGCGGUUGGGGAUGGACUCGCGGCUUAUCAGCUUGUUGGUUGGGUAGUGGCUUACCAAGGCUUUGACGGGUAGCCGGCCUGAGAGGGUGACCGGCCACAUUGGGACUGAGAUACGGCCCAGACUCCUACGGGAGGCAGCAGUGGGGAAUAGUGCACAAUGGGCGGAAGCCUGAUGCAGCAACGCCGCGUGCGGGAUGACGGCCUUCGGGUUGUAAACCGCUUUCGCCUGUGACGAAGCGUGAGUGACGGUAAUGGGUAAAGAAGCACCGGCUAACUACGUG